AGCUUUGUGGCGCAGUCGGACUAGCGCGUUGGGCUCAUAACCCAAAGGUCGUCGGAUCGAGACCGACCGAAGCUA
Molecule: transfer RNA, 75 nt
Filed under: Pseudozyma flocculosa PF-1
Lineage: Eukaryota; Fungi; Basidiomycota; Ustilaginomycetes; Ustilaginales; Ustilaginaceae
Description: tRNA-Met (CAT) (tRNA-Met-CAT-4 1 to 4)
Rfam family: tRNA
About the family: Transfer RNA (tRNA) molecules are approximately 80 nucleotides in length.
Source: RNAcentral